GAUGAACGCUGGCGGCGUGCCUAAUACAUGCAAGUCGAGCGAACAGACGAGGAGCUUGCUCCUCUGACGUUAGCGGCGGACGGGUGAGUAACACGUGGAUAACCUACCUAUAAGACUGGGAUAACUUCGGGAAACCGGAGCUAAUACCGGAUAAUAUAUUGAACCGCACGGUUCAAUAGUGAAAGACGGUUUUGCUGUCACUUAUAGAUGGAUCCGCGCCGCAUUAGCUAGUUGGUAAGGUAACGGCUUACCAAGGCAACGAUGCGUAGCCGACCUGAGAGGGUGAUCGGCCACACUGGAACUGAGACACGGUCCAGACUCCUACGGGAGGCAGCAGUAGGGAAUCUUCCGCAAAGGGCGAAAGCCUGACGGAGCAACGCCGCGUGAGUGAUGAAGGUCUUCGGAUCGUAAAACUCUGUUAUUAGGGAAGAACAAAUGUGUAAGUAACUAUGCACGUCUUGACGGUACCUAAUCAGAAAGCCACGGCUAACUACGUG
RNAcentral lists this ribosomal RNA (497 nucleotides) under uncultured bacterium. RNAcentral's name for it is "partial 16S ribosomal RNA". It matches the Rfam family "Bacterial small subunit ribosomal RNA", at positions 28 to 507 of the family's 1533-position model. The record is from RNAcentral.